AUGAGAACUCCACCAAGGGCUGCACAAGUCCUUACCCAGCCCUCGCUCAGACACCCCAGAGCAGCCUGCGGAGCUGCUCACGCACGGGUGGCUCGGUGCUGCCUGGUGGGGCUGUGCCACCCCCGAGCAGCCGCAUCCCUCACCACGGGGCAGAGCGUGCCUGCAAGCCCCCCGGGCACCCCAAGGGUUCCAGGUUCCGCUAACCUUGAGAUUUCUGCAAACACCCCACUGCACAAAGGCACCUCCGGCACUGUGCUGCCUGCCACGAGCACGAGGAGCGAGUGCAGGCGGACACGGGCACCCCCGUGGUGUGCUGCCCGGUGCCGCAGGGAGCACGCCAGGAGCUGGGGCAGAGCCUCGUGGCACUGCUGGUGGCAGCACGUGUGUGUGUCCCAGCCCGGAGUGGCGCUCAUCGGCAUGAAGACAUGGACAUUGCCCAUUUUGAGCUCUUUCUUCACUGCACUUUUCUUUCUCAUGUUUUCCUCUUUGCGAAGGCUUUUCAUUGUCCUAAGCAGCACAGCAAAUUUUAACAGGAAGAGAGUCUCCUCUGCCAGGAAAUGACACUGUCGUGCUGGAAUUUACAAUGAAGCUGUGAAUGUAGCUGGAGCCCUGGGCUUUGCCGGGAGAAGGCCCCUUUGGCUGGCUGUAUUCAGCUCUAAUGAGAGCGCCGAAUUCUCCCUGAAAGCCGUGCUUUCCAUUUGGCCCCUUGCUCCAUCAAUUGCUGUCACCCUGAACAGAAGGCCCUGCGUGCCGCUUCCCCUCACCGUGCGCCUCGCGGCGCCGCGCUCCGCAGAGGACAGCCCGGCCUCCUGGGGCGCAGCUCUGGGCUCACAAUAGCGCUUUGUUGGCCAGAACACUGACCUCGCAGUUUCCCAGGCUUUCCCUUUCUCCUCUCCCGCUGGAAGCCCCCAGCGAUGCGGAGCAGCGUGGCUGGGCACUGAACAAAGGGGUGAAGGCUCAGGGAGCCCUGAGCACCGGGGCCCGGCUGUGGGUGCCUGCGGGGCUGCUGUGGGGCCGUGGGGCCGCUGCCGGCCAGGCCUCCAGCCACGGCCAUCCCCGCAGCGCUGCCCAGGGUGGCUGGCGAAGCUGGAGCGAGGGAUGACGGGGUGGUUAGAAAAAAAGACAAACGUAGGGCAGCCCCUGUUUCUGUGCACUGCUGGCAGUGCUGCCAAGCACAGUGCUGCGCUGUGCUCCCAGCGGGUUCGGGCGCAGGGAGCGGGAGCGUGGCACCGCGCGGCCCCACCAGCUGCAGGGGGCUGCUCCCGCUGGAGGGGCGCUGGGGGCAGCCUCACCCCGUGGCUGCGGGGGGCACAGGGCUGCGGGAGGCUGUGCUGUACGUUAUGGAUCCCAAGGCGCUUCAAAAUACAAUAGUAAGUUUGCAUUCCAGAUGGAAAGAUAGAGGUGAUGUGGGACUAAAUGAAUUGCAGUCAAUAAACAGCAGUGACCCAGCUGGCA
Molecule: long non-coding RNA, 1455 nt
Filed under: Anas platyrhynchos platyrhynchos (common mallard)
Lineage: Eukaryota; Metazoa; Chordata; Aves; Anseriformes; Anatidae
Description: lncRNA (ENSAPLG00000020321.1)
Source: RNAcentral